UCGCUCUCUGCCCCACUGUUUCAGACUCUUCUCGUUGUAGAUGUCCCUGCCGAAUCUGAUCCUCGGCGAUAGAUUUGAUUGCUUCACAUUGGCAAUCAUUUCUCACUUGCUCCACUUGAUUGCAGCACUGCUGGAGCUGCCGUGUCUCCUGCUGCUGGUUCUCAUCUCUAGGCAUCCUUAACACUUUUUCUCCUGGUGACCUUCUUGAACUUGAUUGUCUUAUGUAUUGCUCGCAGGAGCUCAAGUCCUUCCUCUGAAUUUCCUGGCGGCAUUGCUGCGGGUGAGACCCUUCCCUUUCACCCUUUGAAUCGUCAAUCUCAAUGGUGGUGAUGGUGGUUCUGUGAGCGAAAGAGGCAUCGGCAAUGAUGAACAACAGAACACUAAAGAGAGCAAUUGUGGAUACGAGCUUUGCCAUUGUUACUGAAUAUGAAAGAGCUGAUUUUAUAGAAUAUAUCGGACGAUAGAAUGGGUUUUUAUAGGACAAUUCAGGGGAAUGCAUGUCGGAAACGUGUAGAUUUAUGGAAUCGCCAGUCAUUUCUAACAUUUUUAUGGGGUGGCUACAUCUGUUUCUGUGGUAUGCAUCAUUCUUACUCGUAGGACUGCAGUAUGUAGUAAUUCUUAUGGAUUUUGUGUUUGAUGUUAGCUAGAGUAUCUGUACGUGGUUGCAUUUAGUGACUCUUAUUACUUAAAAUAAACUAUUCAAAAUAUUUGUUACACAUCUACCUAUAGUUAUUACAUUAUCGUUAUAUGUUUGCUUUAAUUGAGUGAGCAAAAAGACAUAUUAGCACAUUGUACCUAACAAUCAAAUACAUGCAUAUUUGAUUUAAGUCACAAUUACAGUAUAUAUUUAAAGAAAACAAAAGUAUGCUCUUAAUACCAGAAAGUAAAAUUAUUUUUGGUUCGACUUUAUCUAGUUAGAGAACUAAUACUAAUCUUAAAUUUACUGAUGAAUAAAAUUAAAAAUAAAUAGAAGUGAUUAAAUGAUGAAUGAGUCAAUUGAGCCAAAGAGUUUUUUUGUUGUUAUUAUACCAAAUUAAGUUAGAAUAAAGAAACAAGAAAAAUACAAAAGUCUUUUUCAUUAGUCUAAUUAUUUAUGUACAAUGAAUAAGAAAUGUUACCAAUUCUCCUUUAUUAUAGUUAUAUCUAUUAUAAGAUAUUCUUAAGAUACCAAAAUGAUAUUUUUAAUAUACUUUCUUUUCUAUGUUUAUUAAUACUGUGUCAUAUUAAAGUAAAUUUAUAUUUAAUUUUUGUAAUAAAAUAUCUAAAAGAUACUUUCAGUAUACCUAAAAAAUACCAUAUAGUAUAAACAGUAUAUAGGUGAUUUAAAAAAAUAAAAAAUAUCAACAACAGUACACUAAUAAGAUAUUGUUUAAUAUACUUUUAGGUGUAUAUUUAUGAAUGCUUUAAUUAAAGUUAUAUCAUUACUCAGUUGUAUAAAAAGAUGCUAAGAAUAUAUUAAAUAUUUAUUGGAUUAUAAUAUUUAUUUAAAGAUAACAAAAGUAUGCUUGUAAUAUACCAAAAAGUUAAAAUAUUUUUGGUCUGACUUUGUUUAGUUACAAAACUAAGUCUAGUCUUAAAUUUACUGAUGAUGAAAAUUAGAAAAUAAAUAGAAGUGAUUAAAUGAAGAAUGAAUCAAUUGAGCCAAAGAGGUCUUUUUGUUAUUAUACCAAGUUAAGUUAAUGGAAUAAAGAAAUAUGAAAAAAGAAGAAGUUCUUAGCUUUUUCAUUAAUUUGAUCAUUUAUGUACGAUGAAUAAAGAAUUCUAGCGGUUCUCAUUUAUUAUAGUUAUAUCUAUUACAAAGUACUCUUAAGAUACCAAAUCGAUAUGUUUAAUAAAUCUUUUUUCUCUGUUUAUCAAUACGGUAUCAUAUUAAAGUAAAUUUAUUUUUCUGAUUAUUUUGUAAUAAGAUAUCAAUAUGGUGCUAUACCGGCUUUUUCAUUAUCUUUUGGAUAUCUUACUUUUUCAUUAUCAAUACUUGAUCUAAAAUUUGAGUUAGUAUGGUAUUACUUGUAGUUAAAUGCAAGAGUAUUUGUUUUAAAUGAACUUAAGAAAAAUAUGUAGUUAGUAUGGUAUUACUUGUAGUUAAAUGCAAGAGAAUGACCUUAAAAAAAUAUGUAGUGUAUAAGAUAUUAAAGCUAGCUAAGAAGAACGAGUAAAAAUGCUCCAUCAGAUUAUUAGGCCGGUUCAUAAAAGUGGGCAUUCAGAUUAAUUUUCCAUAAAGUGAUUUAGAAUUUGAGUUAGUAUGGUAUUACUUGUAGUUAAAUGCAAGAGUAUUUAUUUUAAAUGAACUUAAAAAAAAUAUAUAGAAUAUAAGACAUUAAAUCUAGCUAAGAAGAACGAGUAAAAAUGCUCCAUCAGAUCAUUAGUUCAUUCUUAAGAGGUGAUUUUUCAUUAAAUAUAAUUAUUAGAAAUGGUUCUUUCUUUAUCAUAAAGAGAGCAUGAAUAUGCAUUUCUUUUCAUAUGGAUCAACUCCAGCUUGAUGUAUUGAAUCUUAACCAAUAUCAACAAUAAGACUUAUGCAUCUUGACAAGCAUGAACAUAACUUUAGGAGUGAGCAUCAUAUAGACUUCAAAAAUGAUUAUAUUAAUACGAUUUGAAAUAUAUUAAUGAAACCCAAAUGAAUAAAAGAAAAUAAAAAUGUGAGUGUUGCAUUUUAAAUUUCUUAUGGUGACAUUCUAUCGCCCUUGCAAUUUUUUCUCUCUGUAAUUUUCUUUCUAUAUGCAAAUUUAGUAACAUUAUGAUUAAUUAAUUGCUAAAUUAUGAAUAAUAAUUACCUAGGUUAAAUAAACCUCUCAGGUGGUGCAAUGAAUUUAAUAUGAGCUUUUAUAUGAUAUAUUGCAUUGUAAUGAGUUACAUAUAUAUAUAUAAAUCAAAGGUUGUAAUGGGGAUUAUAUGUUUUGAGUUUCAAUUGUAGAAAUUAGACUUAUUUCAUGGGAGAAUUAGUUCGAUUUAUAGAAGAGAUGUUGCUAAAUCUUUCGUAGAAUUAAUUAGAAUAAGAAAAUAAUUAAUAGGAUUAUAUAAAAUUAAUUAGAAUUGGAUAUUAGAUAUUAGAAAUUAAAAAUUAUUUAAAGAUUAUCAGAAGAUAGGAUAUAAAUUUAUUUCUAAAAUUUUAUUUUUAUAUAUGAUUUAUAGGAUUAAGUAUUCGAAAGUUAUUUGGAGAGAAAGGUUAUCAGAAAAUUUNNNUAAUCCGGCGUGUUAUCUAAAACGUGUCAUUUAAAACAUGAAAAAAUCUCAAUCCAUAAUUUAUAUCCUAUAAAUUAUAAUAUAAAUUAUAAUUUAUAGGAUUCAUUAUUGAUAGGACUGAUAUAAAGUCUACAUAUGAAAAUAAUAUGUUACAAUUUAUUAUAUUGAGGUGUUUUGAGGUGUUUUGUUUCAUCAAUCUAAUGUUAUCAUAUUCAACACAAUUCAAUAAAUUAUAAAAAUAACUAAAUGUAUAGAUCAUUUUAUAAAAUAUAAAUGUAUAGAUCUGAUUGUAAUGUAUAUAAUGUAUAGAUAUGAUAUAUUUGUUGUAAUGUAUAAAUAUAUAGAUAUAAUAUAUUCAUUAUAAUGUAUAGAUAUGAUGUAGUGUAUAAAUGCAUAGGUCUGAUUAUAAUGUACAUAUAACAUAUCAUAACACAGAUACGAUGUAAAAACAAAAAUUCAUCAAACAAAAUAUUCCCGGUUUCUUUACAGUUUAAUUAAUAAAUUUCUCAAUCGGAGUAGAAUGUUCUCUAAGAUAGAGUGUCCUCAAUUUUUUUUUCCAGUUCAUCUCUGCGAAAAUUUUGAAAUAUAAUUAAUUUAUUUUUUUAAUAUCUAAUCUACACAACCGAGCUAAAACAUCAACAGGAUGUUGAUGACGUUAUUAAUUAACAACAUAACAUAGUCAUCAUAAAUGACUACUCAUGGUAAUCAUCAUCAUCAUCAAAUCUCACGGCAACGGUUGUCAACAGCUAAUGAUCACUGAUCAUGAUCUUUAUUUACUACAUGUACUUAUACAUGACAAUUUUACUGGCAUUCUCUUGGUUCCACACCGCACUGUAAUGGCAAAUAUCGAGCUGUCUUGAAAGCAUCAAACAAAUACUCUUCUUCAACUUGUCCCUGGAGAUAUUUCUCCUCAACAGCGUAGUACAGAGCCUCGCAUCUGCACUGUGUAGUUUCAGGAUACAUCUGCUUGAUCUGGUCACAGCACCGACGAAGAGACUGCUGUUGAUUACUGUCACUUCGUCUUGAUCUCUGUACACCAUAUUGUUGUGUGAUAUAUUCCUGGCAUUGCCUGAGUUUCUGCUGUCCAAUAAUAUGCUGACGACAGCCUUCCUGGUUUGGGUUUUUUUGUAUUUGGCGCAAGCAACGCAGACCGCAAGAAGAUACAAUGUCACUUGCUCUCUGCCCCACUCUCUCAGACUCUUCUCCUUGUAAGUGUCCCUGCUGAAUCUGAUAUUCGGCGAUAGAUUUGAUUGCUUCACAUUGGCAAUCAUGCCUCAGUUGCUCCACUUGAUUGCAGCACUGCUGGAGCUGCUGGGUCUCCUGCUGCUGGUCUUCAGCUCUAGGCAUCCUUAACAAUUCUUCCCCCGGUGAUCUUCUUGAACUUGAUUGUCUUAUAUAUUGCUCGCAGGAGCUCAAGUCCUUCCUCUGAAAUUCCUGGUGGCAUUGCUGUGACCGCGAUCCUUCCCCUCCAGCCUUUGUAUCGUCGAUCUCAAUGGUGGUUCCGUAAGCAAAAGAGGCGUUGGCAAUGAUGACCAAGAGAACGCUGAUGAGAGUUACUGUAGGUAUGAGCUUGGCCAUGGUUAUAGAACUUAUAAAUAAUAGCACCUAGAGAGUAUAUACUUGUUUGGAAAUGGAUGAAAAAGGUAAUCGGUAUUUGUACGAGGUUUCGGGGAAUGCAUGCAUAGAACGUGGAAGAUAUCACUUGAGGUGGCUCCAUUUGUUUUUGUGGUAUGGCUUAUGCUUACACGUAGGGCAGCUACAUGCAAAUUCUUUUGGUUUGGAAAUUUUUUUCGUUAAUAUGGACCUAUAUUUUUAUAUACGUCAAAUUAAUAAGUUAAAUUAUAUAAAAAUUAUUAAUUUUAGAUAAUAAAUUAUAUAAUAUUAUUUAAUAUUAAAAUAUUAUAUAUAUAUAUAUAUAUAUAUAUAUAUAUAUUUAUUUAUUUAUUUUCCAUUUGUCACAAUAUGUAUAUUUAAAUUUUACGUGUGAUAAUAAAUUUUGUAAAUGUAAAGUCUAAAUUAGAUAAUAAAAUAUAGAAAAAGGUAUAAAGAUUAAUUUUAUGAUUUAAUUUUUUGAUAUAUGUUUUUUUAAUUUUUUAAUGACACUUUAGUAUCCUAAGAAUUAGAUUAUUAGCAAUAUAUCUAAAUUAAUUAACAUUAUUAAUAAUUUUUGUUAGAAAUUAAACUCAAAUUAAUUAAUCUNNNNNNNNNNNNNNNNNNNNNNNNNNNNNNNNNNNNNNNNNNNNNNNNNNNNNNNNNNNNNNNNNNNNNNNNNNNNNNNNNNNNNNNNNNNNNAAGAAAAUAAUGAAUGGAGGAAUGAUUCUUUUCAAUGUUCAAAACUCAAUAAAAAAAUUAUAAUAAUUGGUGUACUCGUAUGAAAAUUGUGCUAGAAUCACAAGAUGCAUGGGAUGUUGAGAAAUGAUUCGAACAGCUUGAGAAUGACGAAGGCUUGAAUCAAGCUCACAGAGAUGCUUUACAUAGAUCUUGGAAAAGAAAUGAGUUGGCAAUGACAUUGAUGCAUUUGUGCUUAGAUGAAAGCAUGUUUGAAAAAGUCUCGGGUAUAGCAAGUGUCGAGCAAGCAUAAGAGUGUUGCAGAAUUCUUUUAAAGGAGUUAGUAAGGUGAUAAAAGUUCACUUACAAACCUUAAGAGCAGAGUUUGAAUCACUCAAGAUGAAAAGUUUUGAAUCAAUUUCAAACUACUUCACCCGAGUAUUGGUUAUUGUCAAUCAAAUGAGAAAAUAUAGUGAAAGCUAAAUGAUGUUCGAGUAGUUGAAAAGAUUUUGAGGUCUCUAGACUCAAAAUUUAAUUAUGUUGUUGCCAUCGAAGAGUCAAAUGAUCUAGGCUCCAUGAUUGUUGAUGAGUUGAUGGGAUUAUUGCAAGCUUGUGAAGAAAGGAUGACUGGAAAGCAACCACAAGCUCAAGUUCUUCUCUCAAUGUUAUCUCUAAAAGAGAAAGAUCGUGGUUGCGGUAUUAGAUAUGGUAAUUUUAGAGGAAGAGAAAGAGGGAUAUCUGAUAAGAACUUUAACAAUGAUGAGAGUUCAAAUUAGAAACAAGCAUUAAGAGGAUGUGGUAGAGGUGAUUGGUCCAAAAGAAGAGAUUCAAAAGCUGAUGUGCAAUGUUACAAUCGUGGAAAAUAUGGACAUUACGCCUCAGAAUGUAAGGCUAAUGUGCAUUAUUAUAAUUGUGAAAAAUAUAGUCAUUAUGCAUCUGAAAGCAUAAAUUCAGGUGUCAAAGAAGAAAAGGCUUAUUGUGCUAAAGGUGAAGAUAAUAAAGGAAAUAGUUUGUUACUAUCAUGUGAUGGAGUGAAGAAAAAGAUCAAGUAGCAUGGUAUUUAGAUACAGGUGCGAGCAAUCAUAUGACUAGCAAAAAAAAUUCUUUGUGUCUCUUGAUGAAACUUUUAAUGGAAAUAUUUCCUUUGUAGAUGAUAGAAAGGCUAUGAUUGAAGGAAGAUGAGAUAUUCUCAUUCAAGCUAAGGAUGGAUCGCAUAAGUUCAUUAUUAAUUCUGAGUAGCGUUAUCAAGAUUCGAAGCGAAAAAAUGGUGUUAGCAUAUUGAGUUUAGGUCAACUUUUGGAGUAAAGAUAUGAGAUCAUGCUAAAAAAUGGUGCUUUGAUGAUAAAAAAAUUCUAAAGGCAAUCUGAUUGCUAUAGUGAAAAUGUCUAAUAACAGAAUGUUUACUCUCAAAAUUCAAACUGGUUGUGUUAAAUGUUUGAAAGCAUGUUCAUCGAAUCCUUCUUGGUGUUAGCAUCAAAAGAUGGGUCAUUUAAAUUUUGAUAGUUGUUAGUGAAAGAAAGAAUGGUGUAUGGCAUACUUUUCAUUGAUCAAUUGCAAUAGUUGUGUGAAGGAUGUCUAUAUGGCAAACAAUUUAGAAAUAGCUUCUCACAGGAAUCAAGCCUCAAAACCUUUUGCAUUGGUAUAUGCUGAUAUCUAUGGCCCUAUAAAUCUACGUUCUUUUGGUAAAAAUAAAUAUUUCUUGUUAUUCAUUGAUGACUAUAGUCGAAAGACUUUGGUGUAUUUUCUGAAACAAAAGUCAGAAGGCCUUGAUAUGUUCAAAAAAUUUAAAGAGAUGGUAGAGAAGGAAAGUGGAUAUUCAAUUAAGGCUUCGAGAAUUGAUUGUGAUUGUGAGUUCACUUCAAAGCAAUUCAAUGAUUAUUGUGAGUCUCAUGGUAUUUGAAGAUUCUUAAUAGUUUCAAGAUCACCUUAAUAGAAUGGUGUGAUGGAGAGAAAGAAUAGAACCAUUCUCAACAUGAUAAGAAAUAUGUUGAAGAGUAAACAUAUGCCUAAAUAAUUUUAGGUUGGAGCUGUAGCUUGUUCAGUUUAUCUAUCCAAUAGGUGUCCUACAAGAAGUUUGCAAAAGUCUACACCAUAGGAGAAAUGGAGUGGAAAGAAGCCAAUUCUUUUCAUUUAAGAGUUUUUAGUUGUAUAGCUUAUAUACAUAUUCCAGAUGAAACACGAAUUAAAUUGGAUGAUAAAAGUAAGAAGCUUGUGUUUGUUAGGUAUGAUGCAAAGUACAAAGGCUACAAACUAUAUAAUCCAAAAAGCAAGAAGCCUGUUAUUAGUUGAGAUAUCAAGUUUAGUGAAGAUAAUUCUUGAAAUUGGAAAAAUUAAGAUGAAGACUACAAUUUCUUUCCUUUACUUGAUGAUGAGUCUAGCAAAAUAAGAGGUAUUGAGCAUCCUCCUUCACCUCCCAAAAUUUUCAACAAUUAUUCGUGAUGAUCAUAUGAUACUCUGAAAGACCUCCUAAGAUGAGGAGUCUUGAUGAUAUUUAUCAAACACUGAUGAGAUCAAUGAUAAUGCUCUUUAUUGUCUUUUUGCAAGAUUGGAGCUUAUAGAUUUUGAAGAAGCAAUGCAAAAUGAAAAGUGGAGUUUUUCCAUGAAUGAAGAAAUGGAAGCAAUUCAGAAGAAUGAUACAUGUGAAUUGUCAAACCUUCCGCAAGGAAAGUAAGCAUUUUGAGUAAAAUGGAUUUACAAAAUUAAAAAGAAUGUAGAUGGAGAGGUGAAGAAAUUCAAAGCUCGACUUGUUGCAAAAGGAUUCAGCCAACAACAUGGAAUUGACUAUGAUGAAGUUUUUGUACCAAUUGCUCGUUUAGAGACAAUUCGAUUGAUCAUUUCAUUGGCUGCUCAAAAGAAAUGGAAAAUUUUUCAAAUAGAUGUGAAAUCAGCCUUUUUGAAUGCAUAUUUGUAGAGAAACCAAUGGAUUAUGUUGUUAAAAGGCAAGAAAAUAAAGUCUUGAAGUUGAAGAAGGCUUUGUAUGGCUUGAAGCAAGAACCAAAGGCAUGGUACAACCGGAUUGAUGAUUACUUUAAAAAGAAAGAUUUCAUAAAGUGUCCUCACAAAUAUAGCCUUUAUUUCAAGAAAGAAAAUGGUAAUAUGCUGAUUGUUUGCUUGUAUUUUAAUGAUCUAAUAUUUACAGGAAAUAAUUUAGCAAUGUCUGAAGAAUUUAAGAAGGAGAUUGCUGAAGAGUUUAUGAUGAAAAUAUUGGCCUCAUAUCCUAUUAUCUUGGAGUUAAAUUGAAGUAAUCUCAUGACAGUAUUUUUGUUUCUAAAAAAGACUAUGCAAAGAAAGGCUUGAAAGAAUUCAACAUGGAGAAUUGUCAAUCUAUCAUUACACUUGCAGAGUGUGUUAUCAAGAUUUGAUAAUGGUGAGAAGGUGAGUACUAUUCUGUAUCGAAAGGAUUUUAGCGAAUCAAUACCACUAAAAUUCACAUUAAAAAUUCAUAAGUAAUUAUCUAGAAAGGAUUUUAGCAAACUAAUAUCACUAAAAGUCUGAAAAUAAUGCGACGAAGAUUUUGUUCCUCGGUAUGCAAAUCAAGGCACCGCCACCCAUGGUGGUUGGAAAAUUCAACGUGGCCGAAAAUUGCAAUCAGAGACCACCUAAUCGAGUCUGGAUAUGCAAUUAUUUUCACCUAACUCUUUAACAUUUUUUCAAAAAACGCCAAAGAAGUUGCUUCCCUGGCGAAGCUUUUUCUCCUAUUUCCAGUGAUGGCAACUCCAAUGAGGGCUUGUGUAACACCCAUAAAUUUUUUUCAGUAUUUUAAUUAGUUUAAUUUUGUUUUACAUAUGAUUAAUUGAGACAUUAAUUUAUUCAUUCCUCUGCAUUUUAUAAUUAGCUCUAUGAUACAAAUAUACACUAUAUAAUAUAAUGAUUUUAUUACUAAAAAAAAUAAAAUAAAAUAAAUUUAAAAUACCAAAUUUUAUAAAUAUUUUUAUGAUUUUCACUAUACUUUAUUUGCAAAUAAUUAAAUAGACACUACUUUAAAAUCACGACAAUAAUAAAUAUACAAAUUAAAUAAUAUAUAUAUAUAUAUAUAUAUACACGUGUGUUAGUGUAUAUAUGUAUUUAUAGUACAUAAUAAAGCAAAUAAUAAUAAUAAUAAUACUAAUAAAUACAUAUUUUGUACCCAAAAAUAUCCAUUUCCCUUCUCCUUUCUCAUUUAUUUUCUUUUCUUCCCGCUUGCACCCACCUCACCUCACGUCUCCCUCUCUGUUCAAGUUGUCCCUCCCCUUCCUCAUAAUUUUCCAGCCGCCUGAGCAGUAGUCCAGUCGUCCUCCACCGCCCUUGGCCAACGGCAGCUCCUUUUCUUUCCAUUUCUUGCCGGAAAAAUUGAAGAAAAAGGGAAUAUAGGCUGCCAUUUCUUCUGGGGGCCGUUGUAGGUGUUGUGGCUGUAUAGGGCUGCUACCAUUAGCUUUCUCAAGCUCCAAGCAGCCCAUUUUGGACCUCAUUUGCAGUUUCCAUCGUCGGAAAAGGGAGGAGGAGCUUCGCCGGAGCAGCAACUUCCUUGGUUUUUUUUUUUUUGAAAUAUUUGUGAAGAGUUAGGUGAAAAUAAUUAUACAUUCAGACUCCUCGCAUUGAGAUCUUCAAGUAGGUGGUCUCAGAUUGCAUUUUCGAUGACGUCGAACUUUUCAGCCACCGCAGGUGUCGAUGCCUCGAUUUGUGUGCCGAGGGGAAGAAUGUUUGUUACAUUAUUUAGAGAAUUUUGGUGUAUUCAUUCGUUAAAAUUCUUCACUAGUAAUUUGUUUUGGAUUUUUAAUGCGAAUUGUGGUAUUAAAAUCAGAAUAUUUAAUACGGUUGAACGAGUUGUUGAAUGAUUUUAGAACCGUUAUUAUUUAAAAGCUCAUAAACUAUUGUGUUAUAUCAUGUGGUGGAGAAUUGUUUGAAUAUUGAUAAAUUAAUUAUCGGAAUUAAGAAAUUAUGAUAAAUUAAAUAAAUUUGAAUAUUAUAAAAAUUAAUUGUGGAAGCCGGGUGUUUUAGGAGAAAUGAUGCCGGUAGAAUGUUUUAGAGAAAUCAUUGCAUUGCAUUCAUGUGUAAUUGUUUAUCCCAUUCCAAUCCAGUUGGUUCAAAUUUCUAUUCCUUUUUUUUAUUCUCUAUACAUGAUUGAUUCAUAUUCAUUAUUUCUUCUUCUUCUUCUUCUUCUUCUUCUUCUUCUUCUUCUUCUUCUUCUUCUUCUUCUUCUUCUUCUUCUUCUUCUUCUUCUUCUUCUUCUUCUUCUUCUUCUUCUUUAACUACCAUCCAAGCAACAAAAAAAUGGAAUUAAGGACCAACACAAGCGUGGCACAUCCAAUUCUCACAAAAUUAAAAUUAAUAAAAAAAUAAAACUAAUGUAAAAGUAGAAAGGGAAUUAAGGACCAACACAAGCGUGGCACAUCUCAUUUCUAUAGUGCAUGUCCUGAAUUUGCAUCACCAAAGAAAGCUCCAUCACCAAGCCUUGUUUUUAUUUCAAGAAACUCUUUAAGAGAACAGACUUCGCUUUCUCCACCAUCGUUAUAGCUAUAAUGAGCUUCUUUUGUUAUUCUUGUUCGCAUUUGUGUUAUACGGAUUUAUGGUGGUAGAUGGCGGUGGAACAACCAAAACAGCACCGCGAACUUCAUCGGCCGAUUUCUUUCUCUUACGGUAAUGACAGCAGAUGAAAUUGCUACAAUGUACUUGUCUAUUCAUGAGCAAUCUUCUUAUGGCAGCGUUGUUGAUUGUCUUGGCUGGAAAUAGAGAAUGGCAGAGGAGAGAUAAAUUCAUGACAGUUUUGUUUUUUGUCGAUUCCAAUAAACUCCGAUGAGGUGUGAACGAUCAAAACACAUGAAUAAAUUCCAGUCUCUGUAAGCUUUGGUAUUAGAUGACUUUUAUAUCAAUUGGUUAUCUUGAUCUAAUUUGUAAAUGCACUUUAACUUGAAGAUAUAAACUAUAAUAUCCCAUUGAUCUAGAACUUAAUGGUUUUUAUCAUUAAAUAGAAGAAAGAAAACAUACAUUGAUUCAUAUUCUUAUCUUAUUAAUAGAUACUCUAACAUUUUAGUUUUAUAUUUGCUAUAAUUCUUGAUACUAUGGGUAGAGAGAGGACCAAGUCUUAUUUAUAGACUAAUGGUGGUUUUCCAUCAAAGCAUCAAUGUUUACAACCCUUCAUGUCAUAAUAUUUAAUAAUAGUCAUACCUAUUCAAUUUACAACCUUUCAUUAACCAAUAGAAUUUAAUCAUUAAUAUUUUAUUAUAAUUAUAUAAAUCAUUAAUUUCUUACAUUCUCUCACUUGGCUCAUAUAAUUUAAUAAGAAUAUAAAGUGCACGAAGAUUAAUGUUAAAUUCUUUUUUUAUACAUUGGCUAUGACAUAGUAUCAUUAUUAAGUAGAAAUAUUAAUACGGGUCAUAGUGGUCGCAUGUCAUUUAUGGAUAUAGUUCCUUCCAUAUACCACAACACUAAUUCUCAACUUAACAUGAUCUUUAAUAAAGAUAACAUUAAUGGUCCAACAUUAGUGUCUUUAUUUCAAGAAUGUUCUUGUCAAUAUUACUCUAAAGCAAUUAUGUAUACCAAAUAGGAAACAGAAAAAUCAGAAACACAUAAUUGAGCUCAAAGUGUCAAUUAUAUAAACUUAAAAUAAACUUAAUCAAAUAUUAGUAAUGACGCCUAAUAAUGCUCAUUCUUAUAACAUGUUCAUUAAAUAUUUUGGGCGGUAAUCUUUUUGUUAAAGGAUCUGCAAUCAUAAGAUUUGUUCUAAUAUGUCCAAUUGACAUUUUUUGUUUCUGAACUUCUUCUUUAAUGGUAAAGUAUUUUAUCUCCAUAUGCUUAGCACCCUUAGAAUUCUUAUUAUUUUUAGAGAAGAAAACUGCUGCAGAAUUAUCAUAAUAGAUUUUCAGCGGCCUGCAAGUCCUGAAAUAAAAUUUCGCAGCCAUAAUCCAUGAACGGUAGCCUCAGAGCAAGCUACAAACUCAGCCUCUAUAGUGGAUGCAGCAAUGACAGACUGCUUCAUAUUCUUCCAUGAAAUUGCUCUUUCGGCUAAUAGGAGUAAGUAGCCAAAUGUUGAUUUUCUUAUAUCAACACAUCCAGCAAAAUCUGAAUCUGAAUAUCCAAUCACCUCAAGGUGCUUAGAUCUUCUAUAAGUGAGCAUAUGAUCCUUUGUUCCUUGCAAGUAUCUAAGAAUUUUCUUUGUAGCUUUCCAGUGAUCUAUCUAAUCCUGAAUUACUUUGAUAUUUGCCCAAUAUUCCGAACAACAAAAUUAAUGUCCGGUCUGGUGCAAGUUUGAGCAUACAUUAAACUCACAACAACAUAAGCAUAAGGAACGUUCUCUUUCUAUUCUCGUUCCAAUUCAUUUUUCAGACAUUGCAUAAGAUUAAAUUUAUCCCCUUUCUGAAUUGGAACUAUUCCUGCUGAAAAUCUGGAACAGCAAGGAUGGGUGCAUUGCAUAAUUUGGUUUUGACUUCUUCAAAGGAUUUUUGGGCCGCUUCACUGCAUUUGAACUCUCCUUUCUUUAUUAACUCUAUCAUCGGGGCUGUGAUUGUUGAGAAGUUCUUGAUGAAGAUUCUAUAGAAAGAAGCAAGGCCAUGAAAGCUCCUAACUUGAUGAACAUCCCUUGGAACUAACCAUGUGGAAAUGGCCUUCACUUUCUCCGGAUCAAUCUGUAUCCUUUCACUAGGAACAAUGUAUCCUAGGAAAGAAAUACUAUUACACAUGAAAGUACAUUUUUCCAUUUUUCCAUACAACUUAUGAGUUUUCAAUUUUUCAAAUAAAUCUCUCAAGUGCAACAUAUGCUCACUUUCAGAUUUGCUAUAUACUAAAAUAUCAUAUAAGUAUACAACAAUAAACUUAUUGAGACAAGGUCGAAGUACCUCAUUCAUAAGUAUCAUGAACGAACUAGGGGCAUUGCAAAGUCCAAAUGGCAUGACAAGCCACUCAUACAACCCUUGUUUCGUUUUGAAAGUUGUCUUCCAUUCAUCACCUUCUCGAACUCUCAUUUAAUGGUAGCCACUCCUCAAAUUAAUCUUGCUGAAAAUUUUAACACCACUCAAUUUAUCAAACAUAUCUUGGAGCUAGGCAUAGGAAAUUGAUAUUUGAUAGUUAUGUUAUUGAUUGCACGACUAUCAAUAUACAUUCUUCAUGUUCCUUCUUUCUUAGGCACCAAAAGAGCACGAACAACACAUGGACUAAGGCUCUCACACACAUAACCUUUCUCCAUUAGUUCUUCCACUUGCCUUUGCAACUCUUUAGCUUGCUCGGGAUUGCAUUUAUAGGCUGCUUUAUUAGGCAAUGAGGCUCCCAAAAUUAAGUCAAUUGCAUGCUCAAUCCUAUGAAAAGGUGGUAGCCCUUUUGGUAAAUCACAAGAAAAUAAAUCAGAAAAUUCUUCAAGCAAAUGACUCAAAGACAAAGAGAUAGUGGCAUAGGGAACAACAUUAGAAAUGAGUUUAACAAGAAGUACAAACCCUCCUCCCUCCAGUGCACACACUCUUUUUCAAAUUCUUUCCUCGAAAUUAGAAAAUUAGGCCUCCUUUCCACCAUAGGUUCAACCUUAGGAGGCAAAGAUAACAAUCUAAUCUUUUUUCCAUCCGUGGUAGUAACCGUAUAUACAUUAGAGACACCAUCAUGUACAACAUCUCUAUCAAAUUGCCAUGGUCUACUAAGCAAAAUAUGACAUGCACUCAUAGGCAAUACAUCACACUAACGUUCAUCAUGAUAAUUGCCAAUUGCAAAUGAAACUUGACUUUCAAACCAGUUUCAUUAUUCAACCAAUUCAAUUUGUAAGGCUUAGCAUGAUUUCGAAGGGGAAGCUUAAGCUUACUUACAAGUUCUAUGGAAGUCACAUUCGUGCAUGAUCCUCCAUCAACAAUCACAUCACAUGUCUUAGCAAGAACCUUGCACCUUAUAUGGAAAAGGUUCUCUCGUUGCUGCAUGUCUUUGAGAGGUUCAGAAUGUAAGACUCUCCCAACAACUCCACAAAGAGGGUUGUCAUUUUCCUCCGCAUCAUACUCCUCAACAUCUUCAUUAUUACUUUCAGAUUCAUAGCCAUAAGAAUCCUCCUCUGUUUGAGUUGUUUGCAACAGUCAUUCGCAUAAACAUUAAGCUUAUUCUGUUCGAUCUUUCCCAAGCUUUAUAUAAAACUUUUUCUUCAUUGCUAAUUUCAUCAGUAAUAGUAGCAGGUUUCUCAAUUUGAAGUGCCAAAUCAAGAUCCAGAACACCUAAGUGAAACUAAACUUGUUCGCACCAAUCAGAAAAAUUAAAACUAUUAAAUAAUGAAACAGAUGAAGCAUGUGAAUGAAGAGAAACAUGUACAAAUACUACAAAUAAAAAUAACAUAGAAUACUUAUACAUUUAAUGCUUUAAUUCAUAAUGUUUCUUCCAUAAAUUCAAAUAUAAAUAUAAAAUAUAUCAAAGUCCUCCUUUGGAUGAUACUAAGAUAUACUUAUGUAAAUAAUUAUAGGUAAUUAUAUAUGCAUAACUAAAUUUAUUUUCUCUAUCUUUGGAUAUGUAAAAGUAAAAUUAUUACAACAUACUAAUCACUACGAUUAUAUUUAUCAAUUAUAAAAUAAUUAAUCAACCUUUGAACUGAUCUCUAAAUAUCUUGUAAUGAUAAAUUUUAAUUUACCCAUAAAUAUACAAAAAUCGUAAUGUCAUUUAAACAUAAAAUUUCUAAGUAAUUGAAAAUUAUAAUCUAUAAUUUCAAAUUUAUUUACUUUAAAAAUUUGGUCACUUUGGUGACAAGCAAAUCGUUCUUAACAUAAAUUUCAAAGUUAUAAUAAUAUAUUUAAAUAAUAUAUCUACUUUCAUUAAAUAUUUAACUUAAUUUCAAUUAAGCAUUAAUUAUUGAUAUAUAUUUAUGUAGCAAGAAUUAAAGAUGAAUCUGGAUUAAAUUUCUUUUAUUAGGACGAAACUGUAAAUUUUUUCAAACUUAAUUGAAAGAAUAAUAAUUUUACAUGCAAUCUGAUAAAUUAACAAAAUUUAUGGACCACAAUGGACCUUUAACCAAAAACACCAGAAAGUUUAGUUUUUUUAUAUAACAAUCUACAGUCAUUUUCUAAGUUACAUAAACAUUAAUUUAGUCCCGAAAUGUCAAAAACUUAAUCAUAAACCAUACACAAUUAAUCUAAGACAGCGAGGCAACAAAUUUACACAAAGUCAUGAAACUAAUAUCAACAAAUCUUAAAUUUAAUCCAAACCAUGCAAAAUUAAUCAUUUUAAUUUAUAUACUAAAACAAUGAUUAAUUCUUGCAUGCAUCCACGACAACAAUAAAUCCAACAAACUUAUAGAAAAACACGAUUUCUUAAACUUUACUCUGAUAGCACAUGUAAACUAUAAUAUCCCAUCGAUCUAAAACUUCAUGUUUUUCACUAUUAAAUAGAAAGAAGAAAACAUACAUUGAUCCAUGUUUAAUAGAAUGUGAUUUUUCUCCCUUUUCCCCUUAUCUUAUUGAUGGAUACUCUAAUCUUUUAGUUUUGUAUUUUGUAUAAUUUUUGAUGAUAUGGGUAGAGAGAUGACCAACUCUUAUUUAUAGACUAUUGGUGGCUUUCCAUCAAAGUACCAAUUGUUACAACCCUUUAUGUCAUAACAUUUACCAACAGUCAUAACUAUUAAGUUCACAAUCUUUUAUUAACGGUAUAAUUUAAUCAUUAAUAUCUUAUUAUAAUUAUGUGAGUCAUUAAUUUCUUACAGAAGAAUCCUAGUUCUUCUAUUGAUCUUUUAAUAAACAUGGUUGAGUUUUCAUCAAUCUUUUAAUGAAGAAAGUUGAGUUUUGAUUUUUGAUCAAACUCACCGUUUUCAUCUGCUCCAUGUCAGCAAUUCAUUUUGCUGAUAUGGCUCUUUUUCUUGUUUUUAAGUAGUUUUGGUGCCACGUAUGCGUGUUAUAAUCGGAUUUCACUUUCGAUUGCCAAAAUUUCAUAAUAUAGAAAAAUAUAUAAAAAAAGUGAUUAAUGUGAUAAAUUUAAAAGAAUUUGAUAAUUUACAAAAAAAAAAAGGGUCAAACUAUAGAAAUUUUUAGGCAGUUAGACCUCUAAAAGUUAAUUAUUUUGUUGAAUUUUCAACUCCUUUGUUAGUCUUAAAAUUAAGAUUGACAUGUUGAAAUAAAACUCAAUGUUAUUAUUUCAUUGGAUGAGGCAUUUAAUGACGUGGUAAAUUAACCUCAUCGAUAGCUACAGAUAUUUGUGAUAUGAUUUAUGCUUACAUCGUAGAGCAGUUACAUGCAAAUUCUUUUUUCGCUUAAUACAGAUUUAUAUUUUCUUAUAUAUAUCAAAUUAAUUAAUAAAAUAUAUAUUUAUUAAUUUUAAAUAAUAAAUAUAUUUUAAUUAUUUAAUAUUAAAAUAAAAAAUAUUUAUAUUUUAUGUGGUAAUUUUGUAUUUAUCGCAAUAUAUAUACUUAAAAUUUAUGUUUGAUAAUGAAACUUUUAUGAAUGUAAAGUAUAGAUUGGCACUCUUCAAAGUGAAUAAUAAAAUAUAAAAGUAUAAGAUAAAAUAAAUUUAUGCUUGUUGAUACUUUAAAUAGAAAAAUAAAUAUUUUCAAGCAGAUAUGUUAAAGAUAUAAACUGUUUUUGAAGUUUUAUUUAAUAGUUUAAACUUGUGAAUAAAAAGAUUGUUUUUAUAGACAUAAGUUUUAAUUUGACUAAUAAGUUUAUCAUUAUUUUAUGUUGCAGUAAGAAUAUUUCUAAAUGUGCUUUUUAUUUAAAAAAUUUCCAUUAAUAUUAAUACUUUUAUUUUUCUUUUUAAAUUUUAUAAAAUGAGAAAUUAAGAUUAAAAAUAUCAAUUAAUAAGCUAUAUAACAUUUUGGAAUUUAUUAAUUAAAAUGAGAACAUAGAGUAAAAUUUUGACGAUCGAAUAUAGAUAAUUAAAUUAGUUCUUUAGUUCUUUUAUAUUAAAUAAAUAAAUAACCGUUCAACUUUUAUUUUAAAAUUAUUGCUUAGUGGGGUAUAUCUAUGCACCUAUAUAUCAACUUAUAUACUAAAUUUAUAUAAAUAUAUAAUUGAUACGUGAUUUUAUAGAUUAGAAUGUGAUCUAUUUUGAGGUACUAUUCAUUUCUUUAGUUCAUGAUUUUAAAGUUUUCUCUUAAAGAAAGGAAAGAAAUUAUAUUAAAUUUUAUAAGACUCAAAUUUUUUAAUUUUAAGUCAAUGCAAAUUAUAAUAUUAUCAAAUCAAUAAGGAAGAAUAACAUUUACUCCAAAAUUCUCAAUAACUGAAAGAUAUUAACACUCUUUGUCUUCAUCUUUACUCUUAAGUGUUUGCAAUUAUGAUUUUCCGAAAUCAAUCUUCCUUGCAUUAAAACUGCAUAUGAUCUGUUCGUUUAUAUUUAUUGUUUUCAAAAGAGAAAAUAUUUUGUUAGGUUUUCAAGCACUUUGUGUUAGAGCUUGUAGUUUGUAGGGUGACACAGUCUCCCUUAUAAAAGUUUAUGAGAGGCCCAUUUGAACCUAAGAAAGCAAAUGAGAGGUUGACAGAAGCCUAAUAACUUUUUUGGAUUAGUUGGAUAUGAGAUAUUUCAAACUAUAUAAGGUAUUUUAGUAUCAGAACCUUGUAAGGCUUGAUAUAUAGCUGUUAAUAGAGUCAAAUAGUGGAGACAAUCUUAAAGUGCAAUUUUUAGGGACUGAAUGUAGGUCUUAGUAUCAAACUAAGAUAAAUCUUUGUGUUAAUCUCUAUAAACUUACAAUUGCUAUAUACUUUAUUAGUCGUCUAUUACAUCUAUAUAUGAGAAUUUACUAUUCAGACGUCUAACUAUUUUCAAAAAGGUACAUGAGACAGCUUUCUCCAUGCAUCAUCUUACUUCUAUGAUCUAUAAGUGCUUACAAGUUACAUCAGUUGAGGUAUUAAUUAAAAUAUGUAGUUAUCUAACAAGAUGCUUUUUUAGCUUAGUUAGAUAUAUGUGCAACUUUAAACUCACAUUAGAACUUCUAUAGAAUUAUCUCUAAGCAUUUGAUAAACCAGUAAGGUAUCUAACUAGAAAAGCAUCUAUUUUGCACCUUCAAUAUAAAUAAUUUUUGAGGUAUACAGUACACAUAAUGAGUUUAUUUCACGUGUAUAUGAUAUUUUAAUUUUUAUCAAAUUUCUUUCAUUUAGAUUUUAAAAUCAUCAUUUAUAUUAUCUUAUAUAUCGAUAUGGACAAAAUACUUGUUAAUCUUAUUGGAAAGAAAAUAUGAAGUAUGUAAAUUUUGAUGUAACAAAUAUUCUCACACUGAAGGGCAACAAUUUUCCAAAUUUUCUGAAAAUAAUGUCAAAUUAAAUCAAAAUUAAAAAGAGCAAACAAGAAUGGAGAUUCAAUAUCAAGUUUAUUUCGAGUACACAAAGGAUAUCAUCAAAGUAUAUUAUAAGUACAUAACAGGCUUAUAAAUUUAACAGUAUAUAAUACAUUCCGAUUACAUUAUGAGUAUAUAAUAAGUAUAUAUUACCAUUUCUGAAUUUAUUAAAAUAUAUACAAUUGUUGUACAAGUACUAUAGAUUCUAAUAAAUGAGUUUAACCACUAAUAAUAGCUAUUAACUAAUUAUAAAAACUAAAUAUAAAUAUUAAUUCAUAAAAUCAUGUCAUGAAAUUGAAUCUAAAAACUAUUGCUAUUAAAUUUUUUUUGCAUCAAAGUUUAUGUAUCUUAUAUUUCCUUUUCAAUUUUUAUUGUCGUGAAAAUAGAUAUUUUAUCCAUACACAUAUAUAUAGAUAUAUAUCUUGUGUGUGUAUGUCUGCAUGUAAAUAUAUAUAACAUAUAUUUGAAAUAUACUUGUUAUAUACUUAAUAUAUAUUUUUCACUAUAUGCUUUAAAAGUUAUUCUAUAUUUUAAAAGAAAAAUAACUUUUCCAUAUAAUAUAUUACCACAAACUUACUAAAUUUUAAAAAUAUAUAUUUAUAAUAAUACCUAUAUAUAUUUGAUAUAUACUAUUUCUUAAGAUUUUUACAAAAUGGAUCUAAAUACUUAGUUUUUUGUAAAUUUAAGUUCUAAAAUACAAUACUCAUUUAAAAGUUAUAUGAUAUGAUAUUUUUGACGAAUUUUGAUAUAAUAAAAUUUGAACUAACAGAAAAUUAAUUAAAUAAAAGUUUAAAAUUGAAUUUAUCUUAUAAAAUUGAAAAAUUAAUGAAUUUACCUUCAAAAGUUUUUGAUAAAAUAUUGUUAAAUUAUUAAUGAGAUAGUUGUUAGAUUUGUUACAAAUUUUUUAGAAUUAAGAGUUUAGAUCGGAAUUUAUUUUGAAAAUAAAUUUAUAAUUUUUGUUGUUAGCGAUCAACUAAAGAAGACUGAUGCAACCAGAGAGAGAAAAAUGAUAGUUAAAAUUGUUCUGAAAGUAAUUCAAAGAAAGAAAAGAAAACAAAGAACAAAAGGACGCAAUAAAAGGUUUAAAAUAUUCAAGAAUAAUGUUCAGAGAGUAUAGAAAAAGAAAAUUAUUAGCCAAAAAAGAAUUCAAAAGGUGUAUUAAUUAGAUGAACUCCUCUUUUCUGUAGAGUUUAGUCCAGAAACUCAUACACAUUUGAGUUAUUAAUUAGAUGGACUCUGAAUACUUUGAUCUUUUUUAGGACCUUUGAAUAAUUGGAUAGGUGUAAUAUAAUGGCGCCUAUAGCGAUACUGACAGUGCCACAGUUAAACAAUUAACUUCUGCAUUUGCUCUUUUAAAUUAUUUAUUUUCCUUAACAAAGUUCGUGUCUGAGUCCUGAGUCCUAAAGUUUGAGCUCCAGUCCUACGUUAAUGGAGUUGGGUAGGCUCAUGACAUAUUAAUUAACAGAGGACCCACAUAAACUUAUUAUAGAUUUUGCAACAGUCAUGAUACAUGGCUACUACGUAAUCAUCAUUUUCUAAUCUCACAGCAACAGCUGCGAAGGGCUAGUGAUCACUGAUCAUGAUCUUUAUUAACUACUUCAUAUAUAUAUAAUCCUGCGACUUUAGAACCGGCAUUCGGUUGGUGAGACGCCGCACAUUGAUGGCAAAUUCGCAGCUGUCCUGAAAGCCUCAAAAACAUCCUGACCUUGAAGUUGCCCCUGGCUCUGUUGCUGCUCAAUAGCCUGCCUCAGACCCUCGCAUCUGCACUGUGACUGCAUCUGCUUGAGAUGGUCACAGCACCCACGAAGAGACCGUUCUUGAUUGUCACUUCUUCUUGGUCCCUGUCCGGAAACUUGUUGUUUGAUAUAUUCCUGGCAUUGCCUGAGAUUUUGUUGCUCUUGAAUCUGCCCACGACACCCCUGCUGGCUUGGGUUUGUUCGAGUUUGGCGCAUGCAACGCACACCGCAAGAAGAUACAAUUUCACCUGCUCUCUGCGCCACUCUUUCAGACUCUUCUCCAUGUAGCUGUCCCUGCUGAAUCUGAUCCUCUGCGAUAUAUUUGAUUGCUUCACAUUGGCAUUCAUCUCUUACUUGCUUUACCUGAUUGCAGCAUUGCUGGAGUUGCUGGCUCUCCUGCUGCUGGUUUUCAUCUCCAGGCAUCCUUAACACUUCUUCUCCUGGUGAUCUUCUUGAACUUGAUUGCCUCAGGUAUCGCUCGCAGGAGCUCAAGUCCUUCCUCUGAACUUCCUGGCGGCAUUGCUGCGAGCUCGAUCCUUCCCUUUCACCCUUUGACUCGUCAAUCUCAAUGGUGGUGAUGGUGGUCCUGUAAGCGAAAGACGCAUUGGCAAUGAUGAACAAGAGAACACUAACGAGAGCAAUUGUGGGUAUGAGCUUUGCCAUUGUUACUGAAUAUCAGAAAGCUGCUCUUAUGGAAUAUAGUAGAUGAUGGUAAUGGGCUCUUAUAGGAAAUUUAGGGGAGUGCAUGUCGAGAACGUGUAAGAUUUAUGGAAUGGCCAGUCAUUUCUGGCAUUUUUAUGGGGUGGCUACCCAUGGUUUUGAGGUCUGCUUUAAGCUUACACGUAUGGCAGCAGCAUGCAAUUUCUGUUUGCUUCAUAUGAUUCUUUUUAUGGAUUUUGCGCUUGAUGUUGUUGAAGUAUAUAUUUUUAGGUUUGUUUUAUUAUAUAUUUUGUAUAUCGUUGAACCAAAUGGUCUUUUGUUUAUAAACUGUUAUCCCGAAGCAUAUACAAUUAAUUUAAGGGUUAAAUUUCAAUUUUACCAGACUAAAUUAUUAUUUCUUUUAGAUACAACAGAGGGUACACCGGAAAACGAACACAAAAGUAUCACAAUGCAGCUGACUAAAAUCAACAACACCUUUACCAUGCCAUAAAGCGUCAUUAGAUAGUGAAGAAACUUUGUUCAGUUUUUUUUCAUUCAUAUUCGAAAAUCUUAGGUACAAGGAUUUAUAUAAAUUUUUAUUUAUAAGACUCCUAUUUUAAUAUAAAUUAGAAACUUAAAGAAUAUGAAUGUAUAAGGAAGGAGAUAGAUACAGGGGAUAUAUAGUGUGUUAGGAGACAAAUUAAAUCUUCUACACUCCCCCUCAAGUUGAUAUAUAGAGAUUUUGCAUGCCCAAUUUAUCUAAUGCUCAAUAAAAAAUUUCCCUUAAUACUGCUUUGGUAAGAAUAUCGGCGAGUUAAUCUUUAAAUCGAACAUGAAGGACUUCAAUUAUUUUGGCUUCUAACUGUUCCUUAAUAAAGUGUCUGUCUAUUUCCACAUAUUUCAUCUGAUCAUGCUGAUCUAGGUUAUGAGCUAUACCUCAUGCAGCUUUAUUAUCACAAUAUAGUCUUAUAGGACUAAAAUGUGGAACUCAGAGCUCAUGUAGUAAAUUCUUGAUCCAAAAUAACUCACAAACACCUUGAGUCAUUCCUCUAUACUCUGGUUCUGCAUUAGACCGAGUUACAACACUUUGCUUCUUACUUCUCCGUGUAAUAAGGUUUCCUCCAACAAAAGUUAAGUAAUCUGUUGUGGAUCGCCUAUUAUCAAUAGAACCAACCCAAUCCGCAUCAGUAUAGCCCUCAACAUUCAAAAUUAUCCCUUUGGUAAAUAUAAUGCCUUUUCUUGGAGAGGAUUUCAAGUAUUACAAAAUAUAAAGAACAACGUUUAUAUGAUAUUCACUUGGAGAGUGUAUGAAUUGACUUACUACAUUUAAAGAAUAUGCCAAAUCCGGACGAGUAUGAGCAAGAUAUAUUAACCGACCUACAAGUCUCUAAUAUCUUUCUUUAUUCGUAAGUACUUGCUCGGAAAAUAUAUCAAGCUACGUAUGUUUACUAGUAGAAGUAUUAAUUGGUUUGCAAGCUAGCAUAUCGACCUUUUUAAGUAAGUCUAAACUGUAUUUUCGUUGAGAUAAAAAUAUAACUUGCUUAGAUCAUAGUACUUCAAUCCCUAAGAAAUACUUGAGAUCACCAAAGUCUUCAUUUCAAGCUCUUCAGAAAGAUAGUUAUGUAAGGCUAUCUUUUCAUCAUCAUCAUUAUCUCCUAUUACAAUCAUAUUAUCAACAUAUAUGAUAAGCACAACUAUUCUUCCUUUCUUAUAUUUUAUAAAUAGAGUAUAUGAUCGGAACUAAUAUGUUUAUAGCCAAAGGUCUUAAUUGAGUUUGUCAACCUUCCAAACUAAGCUCUCGAAGAUUGUUUCAAUCCAUAUAGAGACUUUUUCAGCUUAUAGAAUUGCUUACUUCCUUCAACCUGAAACCUACAUCUUGGAGGUAGUUCCAUGUACAAUUCCUCUUAGAGAUCGUCAUGAAGAAAAACAUUCUUUAUAUCGAAUUGGUGGAGACCAAUUUAAAUUUACAGCCAAGGACAAAAGAAUUAUGACAAUAUUGAUCUUGGCCACAUGAGCAAAGGUUUUUGUAUAAUCUAUCCCAUAUGUCUGACUAUAUCCUUUCGUAAUAAGCCAAGCUUUGUGUCUCUCCACACUUCCAUCUGCCUUGUAUUUAACAGUAUAAAUCCACCUACCAAUAUAUUUUUCUCCAUUUGGUAGAUCAACAAUCUCCUAGGUUUCAUUCUUUCAAAGGGACUUCAUUUCUUCAUCCAUUGCUUCUUUCCACCUCGGGUCUUUUAUGGCUUCCUGCACAUCGUUAGGUACAUACACAAAAGAUAAUUGAUUUAUAAAUGAUUCACGUGUCUUUAAUAGCCUAUGGUAUGAAACAUAAUUAUUUAUUAGAUAUUUAGGUCUUGAGUCAUCAUGGGUUCAUAACUUGAUUUAGACUUUUCUCGAGUAGUUCGGUUCGAGAGUAUUCUAACAGAGAUUUUAUGAGUUACUUGAGAUUCAGCUCAGGAUAAGUCAUCAAGUAAAGAUGACAUUGAUUGUAGUGCUUCAAAUUCAGCUUUAUUACCUUGACCCCAAAUAUCAAGCUCGCAAUGCUCGGUUGACCCAAGAUCAAAAGAAUAAUGCUCAGAUUGUUUUGACAGGUCGAGAGUUUCAGUUGAAAGAAGGUCAGGAAUCUCUGUUGGAAAAUCGGAUUGUUUUGAAGGUCGGGUUGUAUUUGAAGGUCGAGUUGUGUUUGAAGGUUGGGUUGUGUUUGAAGGUCGGGAAAAUAUUGAAGGUCAGGCUGCAAGUCAAUAUUUCUCUCAUCCUGACUUGCAGUAAGGAAAUACAUCUGAUGCUCAUGAAAUUGGAUAUCCAUACUGACAUACACUCGUUGAGUUAGAGGGUGAUAACACUUAUAUCCUUUCUGAUGAAUACCAUAUCCAAUAAAGAUACAACAAAUAGUACGAGGUUGGAGCUUGUGGCGUGUGUGGUGAGGAAGGUGAACAAAGAUUGUGCAACCAAGGACUUUAUAAGUAAGUUCGGUAAUGAUGGUGAGGUAAGGCUUUUAUUUAUUUUAUCAAAUGGGGUAUGAAAGUCUAGGAUACGAGAUGAAAUUCGAUUUAUAAGGUAAGAUGAUGAGGAUAAAGUUUCUCCAAUAUUGGAAAGACAUAUUGGCUUCAAAUAGAAUAGCUCGUACUGUUUUCAAGAGAUGUCAGUUUUUUUUCCUGUAAUCCCAUUUUGUUGAAGAAAAUAAAGGCAUGUGGUUUGAUGGAUUACACCAUAUUGUUGAAGAAAUUGUGUGAAUUCAUGAUUAAUGAAUUCACCUCCAUUAUUUGUCUGUAGUAUUUGCACUGGAGUUUUAUAUUGAGUUUCCACCAUCAAAUAGAACUUCUUGAAUAAUGAGCAAACCUCCUGCUCACUUUUCAUUAAGCAUAUCCAUGUCAUACGACUAUAAUCAUCAAUAAAAGAAAUAAACUACCGAGCUCUAUUCAAGUUCGGUACCUUUGUAGGUCUCCAAAUAUCAGAGUGUAGAAUCAUAAAUGGUACUGAACUUUUAUUUAAACUAGUUCGAAAAGAGACACGAUGGCUUUUUACGAGUUCACAAGUUUCACAUUUGAAGUUUAAAAGUAUAUAUUUUUAAAAAUAACUUAGGAAACGAAUACUUUAAAUAUCCAAAUAAUGCAUGACCAAGGUGCUUAUGCCAUAACCAUAUCAUAUUUUCUAUACUUGUCGAUAUGGAGCUACUAUUUUCCAAACUUGAUUCCGACAAGGCACUUAAGCUGGAUGGUGCAAUGUCAAGAUAAUAGAGCUUUUCUUUUCUAAUGUCAUAAACAAUCGUCCUCUUUAUCUUGAUGUCCUUAAAAAUAUAAUAAUCAGCCUAAAAAAUUACUAUACAAUUUAAAAAGGUGUUUAGUUGAGAUAUAGAUAUUAAAUUGAAGUUUAGAGAUGGAACAAUUAAAACAUAUUCUAAAUUUUGGUUGUCAAGUGUGAAUGACCAUUUACCAGUAACACUAGCUUUUGUAUCAUUAACUGUGGAUAUAACGGAUUACUCAGUUGCUUUUAGCUCAGUAGGUGUGUUAAAAGGCAUAUUAUCAGUCGAUCCAGAAUCAAUAACUAAUAUAUACGACCUAACAGUGGCAGAAUUACAAAAAGAUUUAUCUAAUAGUUCUAAAGAUAUGUGUAAGAUAACAACAUCUAGCGAGGAAGGUUGUUCGGCUACAGCUAUUGAUACUGAUGCAGUUUUUACAGUUUUUGACUUUCUUUUCGAAGCUUUAGAAGGAUCCUACCAUUUAGGAUAUCCAAUCAGAUCAUAACAUCUGCUUUGAGUAUGGCCUGUUGCACCAUAAUGUAUACAUUGCUUUGUUGAAUUGGUUUGUUUAUUACCAAUAUCAAAGCUACGAAUAGAAUUCUGCAGAAGUGACGAGUUAGUUCUUUUCGCGAGUAAUGUAGCUGACUCUGAGAAAGCAUGUUCUCUAGUUAAGAUUUUUUUCAAUUUGCUUCUCGGCAAACAUAUGCAUAUGUUUGUUCAAGGUCUAAGCUCGGCUCCAUUCGGAGGAUUUCUCCUCUCACUUGUUCAAACUCGGCGUCAAGUCUAUUUAAAAAGAUGUGGAUUCUAAACUUCUCUACAUCUGCUUUAUACAUAGUAAUGCCCUCAAGAUCUUUUAUUCUUAUCUUAUCCCAAUGAUCAAGUUCCUAGAAUAUCUCAACUAGCUCGCUAUAGUAGGUCGGAAGCCGACUUAGGAAUGCUCGUUGAUUAAGAGCAAAAAUCUAAGUUUCGUCUGAUCCAUCAUAGAAUGCUUUUGGAAAAAGCACUCUAGAUUUCACGGGCUAUACUGAUACGAGGAUACUUUUUCAUAGUUUCUGGUAUCAUUGAUGUGAGUAACCAGCUUUUAACUUUUUGGUUUUCAGCAUACCACUUGAAGUAAGAUGGAUCAGUUAAUAUGGAGUUAAUAUGGGUAGAGGAGAAUCUCCUAUAAUAUAAUCCAAUUUUUUACGCCCAACAAUAUACAUCUCCAUGAUUUGAGACCAUGUAUCAUAAUUGGUUUCAGUAAGAGUUAUUCUAGCUUUAAAGCCAAAAUUUUUAGAAUUGACAUGGAUAAUUUGAGUGAUGGUAUGGUGGUUGAUUUAGUAGGGGUUUCAGAUGGAGAGGAAGAUAUUUUUUACAAUAAAAAUUUUAUGCAACUAGGCUCUAAUACCAUGAAGAAACUCAAUUCAGUUGUUUUCAUUCAUAUUUGAAAAUUUUAGGUACAAGGACUUAUAUAGACUCUUAUUUACAAGAAUCUUAUUUUAGUACAAAUUAAGAACCUAAAGAAUAGAAACGCAUAAGGAAUGAGAUAGAUACUGCUUUAGGAGACAAAUAAAAUCUUCUACAGAUAACCAAUCAGCAAUUCUAUUACCUUCCCUUAGGGUAUUUUGAACUUGAACAUAGUAAAUUAUAACCCUUAUAUUCUAAUUGAAAGGUUAAUCUCAUUCAAUUUUAAAAAAAUUUACGCCUUUCAGGUGCUUCAUAAAGUGAAAGCAUCUUUCAGAUAUUUCAUAAAGUCAAAACAAUACAUUCGACAGUAAAAAGUAUAUGAAAUAGGAUAGCAAGAUCCUCGUUUAACUUGUCCUAAGCUCCUUGAAUAUUUGAAACAGUAAGGGAAACGGGAAUAAAACCUAACUGGGUUAAACGUAGACAUGUUCUGAAAGGAGCAUUGGAAAAAAAAUGUCGCACAGUUGCAAAUGCUCCAUAACGAACACAUGGUGCAAUAAUUCCAAGAUUACUAAAUAAAGCCGAUCCAACUGAUAGAGCAUUAGAUAAUAUUUUUGCAAGAAAAGCUUCAAUUUAUUUGGAAUAUUUUAAUUUUCAGAGAUGUUUCCACUGAGUGUGUGGAGGUAUAGCCAUGGUGAAAUAAUGGGGCUAAAUGGAAGGAAAGAGAGACUUCUGCCAUGCAUAAUACCUUAAACCCACUAUAUACUUUUCUGUAUUGUGAAAAGGAAAACUGUAAUUGUCACCGUUUGAGACCAUCUCGGGCAAUAUUAAUAAAAAGUGGGUUCUAAAAAAUAAAAAGAAAUAGAUAUAUCAAAUAUGUAAAAAGUAGAGGUAUUUGGUAUUGUAUUUCUCUUUUAUAUCCAUACAAAGGUGUGAAACGAUAGUUUAGCAAAUAUGACAAAAGUCACUUCUCUUUCAUCAUCUUUUAUUGAUUUAUUUCCUUCUCCAUUACUUAUUUUUCUUAAUAUGUAAUCUAAAAUUUCCAUUACCUCUCUUUCAUAACAAGUAAAAAUAAUCUAAUAUUCCAUCAUCCAUAAUAACUAUCAAUCUUCUUUUCUUUUAUUUUUUUCUCUUAUUUCUAUCAAAUUUUUAUUUACUUUUUACUCCUAUUUUUCCUCAUUCUUCAAUCUUAAUGUUAUAAUUUAACCCAAAAGCUGUUAUCUUAUAUUCCAGCUCUACUAUUUUGUAGCUCGUCUCAACGAGUUAUGGUGAGUUGAGCAAAAUAGGUGGGCCACUGACUCAUCAACUCAAUUUGAAUCGGUUUAUUUUGACUAAGUUUCAUCUCUUGGUUUUCACAUAGUUUGUUGUUGUUGGAUGGAUCUAUUGUUCGGGCAGUAGUAUAGUAGUAUCAAACGAGAAGUUUUUUAGAAACUCUUCAAAAAUAUCUUAAAUCAAUAAAAAAAUCAUUUUUUUUCUAUAAAUUUUUCUUUCCAAAAUAAACUUUUUUCUAAAGUUAUAUUGUAAUUAUUUUUCAGUUUUUUCAGUUAUUUUUUUAAGUUUUUAGCUGUUAAAAUAAAAACUCAACCAAAACUGUAAAUUAAAAUAAAAAUUAAAUAACUAUAUUUUUAAUAUUUUAGUACAAUAAAAAAAUUAUAAAUUAAUAUUUUUUAGAUUUUUUUAAUCUAAUUUAGAUGUAUGUUAUGUUUAUAUAUUAACUAAUAAGUUAUAGAUAUCUAUUUAUUAGUCCUAUACCAAUAAAUUAUAGGUAUAUGUUUAUAAUUUUAAAUAAUAGAAUAUUAUAUAAAUUAUUGAACUAUAGUUAAUAUUUAUUUACUAAUUUUAAGUAAUAAAAUAUAUAAUAAUAAUUUAAUAUUUAUUAUUUUUCUAUUUGUUGUAUUGUAUUUAUAAUAUUAUAUUAUUUUAUGAUGUAUAGACAUUAUAUUUAUUGUGAUGUGUAAAUCUAAUAAACCUGUUAUUUAUUGUGAUGAUAUAUAGAUGUUACAUUUAUUAUAAUGUGUAGAUAUAUUUUUAUUGCGAUAUAUAGAUAUGACGUGGAUAAUAAUUUUCCAUCAAACUAAUUUUUCUCCAGAUUCUUCAUGGUUUAAUUAAUAAAGUUCUCAUUUAUUAAAACAAAAUAUUGAUCUCAAAGUUCGAUAUGGGUCUUUGUCUCUGAGAAGCUUUUGAAAUAUAAUUAAUGUAAAAUAUUAAACAAUUCCUGCGAAACUCUUGAAAUAUAAUCAAUGUAAAAUAUGGUACUAUGUUAUGUUUCCACCCUUUCCUUUUCGUCAAAUAAACUUGAGCUUUAAUCAAUGUAAAAUAUAGUAUUAUCCUAUGUUUCCUCCCUCUCCUUUUUGUCAAAUAAACUUGAGCUUGAUUCAAGCUUUCCAUAUGAUUAUAGACCAACUAAUUAAUAAACAAAACCUAAAUUCAUGAAGUAUUGUUCAUUCUCUCGGUCUAUAGUUUCAUAAUUCAUCCUUUAUAAGAAUAUAUAUAUAAAGAAAAAGAGUAUCUAAUGGAGAUCAUCAAUACAAAUUCAUUAAUCUUAAUGAAUUGAAUAUGCAUCUUGAAUAUGUCAAAAUUUUAUUUCCAAACUUCUUGAGAAGCCAGAUUGGUUACAGAAUAGCUAUGCAUCUUGAGUUAUUUUACAUAAUUAAACAUAUUUAAUCUAGAGUUUAGUCCAAAAACUCGUAUGGAUGCAUGGAAUGGACUCAUUGAGUAGCUUCCACACGAAUUUGACUAAUUCGAUGGACUCAUUGAACAAUUAGAUGGGCGUAACGCCUUGAAUAGCUACUAUACUCGUUGAUUAAUUAGAUGAAAUCUUUGAGUACUUAGAUUUUAGUUUUUUAGGACCUUUCAAUAAUUGGACAGGUGUAAUAUAAUGGCGGCUAUAGUGAUACUGAAAAUGCCAGAGUUAAUCUUUGAAUACACUGGGGGCUUUCGCAUUUGCUCUUUUAAGUUAUUUAUUUUCCUUAACAAAGUUCUAAUACAGUUAAAGUACCAGUCUCUGAGUCCUGAGUCCUAAAGUUUGAGCUCCAGUCCUACGUUAAUGGAGUUGGGUAGGCUCAUGACAUAUUAAUUAACAGAGGACCCACAUAAACUUAUUAUAGAUUUUGCAACAGUCAUGAUACAUGGCUACUACGUAAUCAUCAUUUUCUAAUCUCACAGCAACAGCUGCGAAGGGCUAGUGAUCACUGAUCAUGAUCUUUAUUAACUACUUCAUAUAUAUAUAAUCCUGCGACUUUAGAACCGGCAUUCGGUUGGUGAGACGCCGCACAUUGAUGGCAAAUUCGCAGCUGUCCUGAAAGCCUCAAAAACAUCCUGACCUUGAAGUUGCCCCUGGCUCUGUUGCUGCUCAAUAGCCUGCCUCAGACCCUCGCAUCUGCACUGUGACUGCAUCUGCUUGAGAUGGUCACAGCACCCACGAAGAGACCGUUCUUGAUUGUCACUUCUUCUUGGUCCCUGUCCGGAAACUUGUUGUUUGAUAUAUUCCUGGCAUUGCCUGAGAUUUUGUUGCUCUUGAAUCUGCCCACGACACCCCUGCUGGCUUGGGUUUGUUCGAGUUUGGCGCAUGCAACGCACACCGCAAGAAGAUACAAUUUCACCUGCUCUCUGCGCCACUCUUUCAGACUCUUCUCCAUGUAGCUGUCCCUGCUGAAUCUGAUCCUCUGCGAUAUAUUUGAUUGCUUCACAUUGGCAUUCAUCUCUUACUUGCUUUACCUGAUUGCAGCAUUGCUGGAGUUGCUGGCUCUCCUGCUGCUGGUUUUCAUCUCCAGGCAUCCUUAACACUUCUUCUCCUGGUGAUCUUCUUGAACUUGAUUGCCUCAGGUAUCGCUCGCAGGAGCUCAAGUCCUUCCUCUGAACUUCCUGGCGGCAUUGCUGCGAGCUCGAUCCUUCCCUUUCACCCUUUGACUCGUCAAUCUCAAUGGUGGUGAUGGUGGUCCUGUAAGCGAAAGACGCAUUGGCAAUGAUGAACAAGAGAACACUAACGAGAGCAAUUGUGG
Molecule: long non-coding RNA, 30132 nt
Filed under: Ricinus communis (castor bean)
Lineage: Eukaryota; Viridiplantae; Streptophyta; Magnoliopsida; Malpighiales; Euphorbiaceae
Description: long non-coding RNA (RCOM_LNC001530)
Source: RNAcentral